AAAACUUCAUCUCUUCGAUUGUCUCUCAAUUCUCUUGGAUCUUUGGUUGUCUGAAGUCCUACCAAUGUAGGCAAGAAGAUUGAGUUGCUUAGAGGUCAAAUCAAAGCAACUCAGUUGACACACCUUAAAAUUCAACUCCUCAUAUCUUUCUAUAUAUGUGGAGUUAGUUAAAAUUGAGGUUAGAUUCGUGAUGUACGCCAUUUUUUCU
This 208-nucleotide long non-coding RNA is filed under the name Lathyrus oleraceus (garden pea). RNAcentral's name for it is "Pisum sativum (pea) long non-coding RNA (PSAT_LNC029864)". The record is from RNAcentral. Lineage: Eukaryota; Viridiplantae; Streptophyta; Magnoliopsida; Fabales; Fabaceae.